This is a long non-coding RNA of Perca fluviatilis (European perch), 252 nucleotides long. RefSeq lists it as uncharacterized. NCBI's taxonomy places the organism in Eukaryota, Metazoa, Chordata, Actinopteri, Perciformes, Percidae. The transcript is spliced from 3 exons. The record is from RefSeq and is a predicted model, not a curated record.
AACAGUGGUGUGCUGCAGGCCAUUGUCAGCCGUUAUUCCGAUGCUCAGUAUGCCAUAGACUUUGACUGUUUUGUGGGUUGUCUCAUUAAACUGGAAAUGCUCUUCAAAAUGUUUAAGACUCUGGAGAGAGCUGACACAGGGAAGAUUGAGCUGGAUAUGCAACAGUGGCUGUGCCUGGCCAUCUUCUGAUCUGGAGACAAGACAAGAGAGAUGAUACCUGCUGGAGGAUUAACAAUACAUGCAUUGAAUUCA